This 1390-nucleotide ribosomal RNA is filed under the name uncultured bacterium. RNAcentral's name for it is "bacterial SSU rRNA". It matches the Rfam family "Bacterial small subunit ribosomal RNA". The record is from RNAcentral.
AGAGUUUGAUCCUGGCUCAGGAUGAACGCUGGCGGCGUGCUUAACACAUGCAAGUCGAACGAAGCACCUUGAUUUGAUUCUUCGGAUGAAGAUCCUGGUGACUGAGUGGCGGACGGGUGAGUAACGCGUGGGUAACCUGCCUCAUACAGGGGGAUAACAGUUAGAAAUGAUUGCUAAUACCGCAUAAGACCACAGCACCGCAUGGUACAGGGGUAAAAACUCCGGUGGUAUGAGAUGGACCCGCGUCUGAUUAGGUAGUUGGUGGGGUAACGGCCUACCAAGCCGACGAUCAGUAGCCGACCUGAGAGGGUGAUCGGCCACAUUGGGACUGAGACACGGCCCAAACUCCUACGGGAGGCAGCAGUGGGGAAUAUUGCACAAUGGGGGAAACCCUGAUGCAGCGACGCCGCGUGAGCGAUGAAGUAUUUCGGUAUGUAAAGCUCUAUCAGUAGGGAAGAAAAUGACGGUACCUGACUAAGAAGCACCGGCUAAAUACGUGCCAGCAGCCGCGGUAAUACGUAUGGUGCAAGCGUUAUCCGGAUUUACUGGGUGUAAAGGGAGCGUAGACGGAGUGGCAAGUCUGAUGUGAAAACCCGGGGCUCAACCCCGGGACUGCAUUGGAAACUGUCAAUCUGGAGUACCGGAGAGGUAAGCGGAAUUCCUAGUGUAGCGGUGAAAUGCGUAGAUAUUAGGAGGAACACCAGUGGCAAAGGCGGCUUACUGGACGAUGACUGACGUUGAGGCUCGAAAGCGUGGGGAGCAAACAGGAUUAGAUACCCUGGUAGUCCACGCCGUAAACGAUGACUACUAGGUGUCGGGUGGCAAAGCCAUUCGGUGCGGCAGCAAACCCAAUAAGUAUUCCCCUUGGGGAGUAGGUUGCCAAGAAUGAAAUUCAAAGGAAUGGAGGGGGACCCCCCCAAGCGGUGGAGCAGGUGGUUUAUUUGGAAGCAACGGGAAGACCCUUCCCUCCCCUUGCCUUCGGAAUGCCCGGGGAGUAAUUUCCCCUUUCUUUCGGGCCAUUCGAGCCAGGGGGUGCAAGGUGUUGUUCAGCUGGUUUCGUGAGAUGUUGGGUUAAUUCCCCCAACGAGCCCACCCCUUUUCUUUAGUAGCCACCAAUUAGGAUGGGCACUCUAGAGAGACCGCCAGGGAUAACUUGGAGGAAGGUGGGGAUGACGUCAAAUCAUCAUGCCCCUUAUGGGCAGGGCUACACACGUGCUACAAUGGGGUCAACAAAGGGAAGCAGAGUCGCGAGGCGGAGCAAAUCUCAAAAAUAACGUCUCAGUUCGGAUUGUAGUCUGCAACUCGCCCACAUGAAGCUGGAAUCGCUAGUAAUCGCGAAUCAGCAUGUCGCGGUGAAUACGUUCCCGGGCCUUGCACACACCGCCCGUCA